GGGACGAGCUGGACCGGACAGGCCUGGCCGCCGGCGUCGGCGCGUACGUGCUGUGGGGCAUGUUCCCGGCGUUCUGGCCGCUGCUCGAUCCG
Molecule: transfer RNA, 92 nt
Filed under: Pseudonocardia autotrophica
Lineage: Bacteria; Bacillati; Actinomycetota; Actinomycetes; Pseudonocardiales; Pseudonocardiaceae
Description: tRNA-Arg
Source: RNAcentral